UAAUCUGGCCGUCCCUCUUUUUCCAAUUACUAAACGUCAGACCUCCUGAACUUUGACAGGAGCCUGAGUUCAGGUGGUUUUGACGUGUAGCGAUUCGCUCUAAUUUCCAAUGAGAUAUGAGUUGGGCGUCUCUUUAUCUCUGCUUUUGGUGUAUCGCACGGAAUAACAGCUACAUAGGAAUUUUACAACUUCUCGAAACUUCGAUGAAAACCUAUGCUGUCUCUUUCGGAAAAAUCGUAAACAUUGAUAGUCAUUGUUCAUAUGACUGUCAGUACUGACACAAUAAAUGUGAGUGUAUUGGUGAACCAGCAUUUCUUGUAGGGUUACUUGUAGAUAUAUACAAUGUGUAUAAUUUUGACGUGUCAACAUGUAAGUUCUUAUUUGAUAUAUACAUAUUUAAAUAACGAAUAAUUCUUUUAAAUAUAUCUAUAAUAAUUUUUAUUCAUUGUAUAUUUUUAUUAUUUCAGAUUUGGAUGUCGAGAAACACGUAGUGUAAUACAACAUACAAAGUAAUACAAUACUACAAAUAAGCAAUUCAUCAUACCCAACACUGUUACGUAAUGCUCAAUGACAAUACUGGCAACACAUUUGAAUAUUUUUGACAUGGACGGACCUAUUUUUACAAAGUUUCGUUGAAUAAGCAGUUUCUGGAUUUCACAUGGUUGCUUAAGUGAACCUUACAUUUUACUAUGGUGAAUAUUUAUUAAUUUACCACAGUUAA
Molecule: non-coding RNA, 721 nt
Organism: Bactrocera oleae (olive fruit fly)
Lineage: Eukaryota; Metazoa; Arthropoda; Insecta; Diptera; Tephritidae
Source: RefSeq, a predicted model, not a curated record